ACGGAGGGUGCAAGCGUUAAUCGGAAUUACUGGGCGUAAAGCGUGCGUAGGUGGUUUGUUAAGUCAGAUGUGAAAGCCCUGGGCUUAACCUAGGAACUGCAUUUGAAACUGGCAAACUAGAGUAUAGGAGAGGAAAGUGGAAUUUCUGGUGUAGCGGUGAAAUGCGUAGAUAUCAGAAGGAACAUCAAUGGCGAAGGCAGCUUUCUGGACUAAUACUGACACUGAGGUACGAAAGCGUGGGUAGCAAACAGGAUUAGAUACCCUGGUAGUCCACGCCGUAAACGAUGAUAACUAGCCGUUGGGGGGAUUUACCCUUUAGUGGCNAAGCUAACGCGUUAAGUUAUCCGCCUGGGGAGUACGGCCGCAAGGUUA
This 372-nucleotide ribosomal RNA is filed under the name uncultured bacterium. Its description in RNAcentral is "bacterial SSU rRNA". It matches the Rfam family "Bacterial small subunit ribosomal RNA", at positions 525 to 896 of the family's 1533-position model. The record is from RNAcentral.